Y RNA from Callithrix jacchus (white-tufted-ear marmoset), 104 nucleotides. It matches the Rfam family "Y RNA". Rfam says of the family: Y RNAs are components of the Ro ribonucleoprotein particle (Ro RNP), in association with Ro60 and La proteins. The Y RNAs and Ro60 and La proteins are well conserved, but the function of the Ro RNP is not known. In humans the RNA component can be one of four small RNAs -- hY1, hY3, hY4 and hY5. Lineage: Eukaryota; Metazoa; Chordata; Mammalia; Primates; Cebidae. The record is from Ensembl.
GGCUGGUCUGAUGGCAGUGGGUUAUCAGAACCUUUUAACAUUAGUGCCACUAAUGGAGGGUUGGUCUACAACAGCCCUCCACUGCUAAAUUUGACUACCUUUAA